GACGAACGCUGGCGGCGUGCCUAAUACAUGCAAGUUGAGCGCUGAAGGUUGGUACUUGUACCAACUGGAUGAGCAGCGCACGGGUGAGUAACGCGUGGGGAAUCUGCCUUUGAGCGGGGGACAACAUUUGGAAACGAAUGCUAAUACCGCAUAAAAACUUUAAACACAAGUUUUAAGUUUGAAAGAUGCAAUUGCAUCACUCAAAGAUGAUCCCGCGUUGUAUUAGCUAGUUGGUGAGGUAAAGGCUCACCAAGGCGAUGAUACAUAGCCGACCUGAGAGGGUGAUCGGCCACAUUGGGACUGAGACACGGCCCAAACUCCUACGGGAGGCAGCAGUAGGGAAUCUUCGGCCAUGGACGAAAGUCUGACCGAGCAACGCCGCGUGAGGGAAGAAGGUUUUCGGAUCGUAAAACUCUGUUGGUAGAGAAGAACGUUGGUGAGAGUGGAAAGCUCAUCAAGUGACGGUAACUACCCAGAAAGGGACGGCUAACUACGUG
RNAcentral lists this ribosomal RNA (497 nucleotides) under uncultured bacterium. RNAcentral's name for it is "partial 16S ribosomal RNA". It matches the Rfam family "Bacterial small subunit ribosomal RNA", at positions 28 to 507 of the family's 1533-position model. The record is from RNAcentral.